GAGAGAGUAAUUUGGGGGGAAACACGAUAUUCAAGUAGAGAGAAAAGCAAAAAUCCACCUGCUCCCUCCCAGGCCUCCCAGCAAAUCUGCCUCAAACUUCAAGUACCUGGCGCUCCUCCCUCCCACAGCUAAAUUCCUAGAAUUUAUUUUCUAGGAAUUUAGACAAUCCAAACUGGCUGCCUCUCCUCUCUCACCUGACCUGCCUAUCUGCUUUAAGGGUCCACUUGAAACUCAAGUUGCUCGCCAAACUUGCAAACUUACAAAUAGAAAAUGCCCUGUCAUUCGUGCCCCCCCCUUCUGACAUUCCAUCCCUCCCCACUGCCUGCCACUAUGGACAGGAGACAGAGCCCUGGCUGCCUGGCAGCUAUGUGCCCUUGAAGAGACCACACACCCAAGUAAAACACACAAGCCCAGGCCACAUUGUGCUGCAUUAAAAGGCCCAAGUUAGGGGGCUGGGGUUGUGGCUCAGCGGUAGAGCGCUCGCCUGGCAUGUGUGAAGCCCUGGUCUCCAUCCUCAGCACCACAUAAAAACAAAUAAAAUGAAGGUAUUGUGUCC
This 556-nucleotide long non-coding RNA is filed under the name Marmota monax (woodchuck). The stretch from base 455 to 517 matches the Rfam family "tRNA". The record is from RNAcentral. Lineage: Eukaryota; Metazoa; Chordata; Mammalia; Rodentia; Sciuridae.